Molecule: ribosomal RNA, 253 nt
Filed under: uncultured bacterium
Lineage: Bacteria
Description: partial 16S ribosomal RNA
Rfam family: Bacterial small subunit ribosomal RNA
Source: RNAcentral
GGCAGAGGUGCCGAGCGUUAGGCGGAAUCACUGGGCUUAAAGCGUGUGUAGGCGGAUCGUUAAGUACCUUGUGAAAUCCCACGGCUCAACCGUGGAACUGCUGGGUAUACUGGCGGUCUUGAGCCACCUAGGGGCGAGCGGAACAAGCGGUGGAGCGGUGAAAUGCGUAGAUAUCUGGAGGAACACCGGUGGCGAAGGCGGCAUCCUGGACCGAUAUUGACGCUGAUGCGCGAAAGCCAGGGGAGCAAACGGG